This 1282-nucleotide long non-coding RNA is filed under the name Jatropha curcas. RNAcentral describes it as "long non-coding RNA (JCUR_LNC002437)". Lineage: Eukaryota; Viridiplantae; Streptophyta; Magnoliopsida; Malpighiales; Euphorbiaceae. The record is from RNAcentral.
GGAGAACUAUUAUUCAAGCUUUGCCGCUGCUCCAUGCCUUCACUGUAAAAUUCAUGCUUCCUUCUCCAAUACAUUAUUUGUGCUCUAAAGAAAGAUUGCCCUGACAGUAGCGCCUUAAGCGAUUAACGCUUAGUGGGUUACUGUUCCAAUAACAGUAACUUGAUUCUAAAAUCCCCAUUCUAAAACGAAAGCGUUUCAGUCCAAAACAAUCUCUUUUUCAGUAAAUAAAUCCCUAUCCUCUUUCUUUCAUAAACAUCUCCUCUUUACUACUGCUCCCUCAAAUGUCAUUCAUCGGUCAUCCAUCACUUGCUUUCAUCUUCCACUGUAGUGGAGCAACGUAACAACAUUGCCUCCAAUGCUCUUCUGCCUGUACACACUGAGUUCAUCUUUUAGAUCACCCACAUCAUCUUUCAGGUGAGUAAUAUUUUCUUUUUUUUUUCUUUAUGAUUUUGUUUUUUAUUUUCCUUUUUUUCAUUCUUCAUUUUCCUUUUCUUUUUUUUCGAAGAGCAAAGCAAAGCUUUUGAAUCCUUUCGAAAUACAAAUAUUUUCCCUAUAUAUCUUUCCUUUCUUUUUUCACACUCUCUGUCUAUCGAUUCUCCCCUUUACAACCUCUGAAUAUGGUCGGUUCAAUUAAUAUCUCUUUCUUUUGUUCUUUAGAACUCAGCAAUUUUUGGGUAUGAAGUUUCUAUAAUUCAUUUAUUUAAUGGAUAUGUCUUUGUAAUUGCUGAAUUUUUUUUAUUGACAUUUUAUCUCAUUGUAGUUAAUAUAUAUUUAUUUUUCAAGAUUUUUUGCAAGAACUUGAAAUUAUUAUCCUUUGUUGAACUUUUUCUGAAAAUACUUUAUAUGGUGAAAAAUACAAGGAGUUAGAAGAGAGUUGGUGCUUAGAAAAAGACAUGAGACAAAAAGAAAUUUAAUGAAAAAAUGAAGUAUGAGAGAGAAAGUUUCUUUCUCUUUAAGUAGUUGCUUGAUAUGAUUCCGAUGAAUGUAAUGAAAAGUGCCGGUGAAGAAAUUGUCGACGAUGAUGAUGACAUUGUUAUCUCUUUCAAUCAGACGAUCUACCAGAUGUAAACCAUCAAACCUAGUUCCACGGAUUCUUCCCGUUGGUCGUGUGAGGCUCAUAUAAUUGUAUCUUGCCGGUAAUAAAUCGUGAAUUGACAGAGAAGUGAGCAAUUUUUUUUUUUUUUUUUUUGGUAACAAGAGAAGUGAGCGAGUGUGAUGAUAUGGCAUACAUGUAAGAUGUUGUUAUGUCACCUAACUUGCUCACUUCGUGCGUGUAUUUCAC